CAUCCGGUCGAUCCUGCCGGAGCGCGACGUUYUCCCCAAGGACGAAGCCAUGCAUGCCCGCUCACCCGGGACGCGGCGGACGGCUCAGGACAACGGUUGCACCCCCCGCGGCGGUCCCUGCUAGCCGGACACCGCUGGCAACCCGGCGCCAAGACGUGCGCGCAAGGGCGGGCGCCCGCGGGCGAGCAGCGUGACGCAGCGACGGCCCGC
Molecule: ribosomal RNA, 210 nt
Filed under: Giardia duodenalis
Lineage: Eukaryota; Fornicata; Diplomonadida; Hexamitidae
Description: Giardia intestinalis partial small subunit ribosomal RNA
Source: RNAcentral